This 231-nucleotide long non-coding RNA is filed under the name Marmota monax (woodchuck). Lineage: Eukaryota; Metazoa; Chordata; Mammalia; Rodentia; Sciuridae. The record is from RNAcentral.
UCCAAAGCAGGAGGAAGAUCUUGUGAUAGUCACCAGGUCCCCAGCUGCCUGCGGGGCCAGCCUGGGGGUGCCUGUGUGUCCCUGUGCCCUGGUGACACCACGUGGGCUGCUGGGAAGACGGAGGCCGCUCCAUAUUCUUGGCUUGUCACUUUCUGGCAGGACAAGGUGGUCGAUUUGGUUCCUGUGUCAUGUCCUGCUGUGGCUGUGAGUGUCCCCAGAGCCCCCGUGGGA